GCAAAGGUGAGAGGGUGGGACCACGCCAUUGGUCAGUAAGUGGAGUCCUCGCCCAGGCUAGACUUCCUCUCACCUUCGGCAUCCAACAUCCUGGGGAUGUCCAAGUAUUUCUCCGCCACCUCAAAGGCAGUGUUUAGGUUGCCAAUGGGGUCAUCCUAGAUGGGCAGGAGCAGGGACAGGUGAAAUGGCAGCUGAGGGCAGAGGUGGGAAGUCGGGGGUGGGAGUGACAGAGGCCUACCUUGCGCAGUUUGGCAUAGUCGAUGAGGUCAGGGCGGUGUCGGUGGAUGAGAGCACAGAGAGCCAGGCCAUCCUUCCAGCUGGACAGACAGAAGUGGGGGUCAGUCCCGGAUUCGAGCUGAGGCUCUGUGCUUCCCUCACUCCAGGAGCAUCCCCAUCAGGACAGCCUCAUCAGUAAAAUGGAGUUGUCUAAACUCCUUGGCUUGGCAUUUGAAGCCUUUCGUUACCAGAGCUGGACCAUCUCCUCCAAGCUUAUCAUGAUUCCUUCACAUACCCUGUCCUUGGGCCACACCAAUAUCUAGAUGUUUUUGCUUACAAGGUCCCCUCUGGCUGGAAUGCGGUUCCAGGGAUGCCCCCAAUGCACCCUCCCUCACCCUCCUGGAUUCCAUCGCAACAUCGACUGAGUCCUCCUAUUUUCAGACACUGUGCCAGGAACUUGGCUGUGACCUCUCCUCUCCUGGGGCUUGUGAUAGGGGCCAGCUCUGUGCCCCAGAGCCCCGCAGAGGCCCGCGUGCAUGUGCUGACCGGCUGACAGACCUGGUGUGGAAGUUCUGCACAUUGACGUUGCGAGAUGUCCUGGAUGGCGAAGCGAAGGAUGAUGGUCCAGAUCAUGCCCAGGGUCAUCUUCAGGUUCCCGUCAACAAUCUCUGCAGGGUGGGGAGUGGGGACAGAUUCCAGCCGACAUUCAAGGCCUGUACCACCUCAGCUGCCUUCCCUCCUGCUCCGCUCUCCGGCCCUUGUCCCCCAUCCCAGAGCCGGUACCUAGUAAGUGUUCAAUCCCGGAACACCUACUAGCGCCAGGUCCUGUGCCGGCACUUUGGGCACGUUUGCCCCUUAACAGCCCCUCCCAAGAGGCAUGGAUGGUCGACUCCGUGGGUGAAGAGACUGAGGCUCACAGAAGCGACUUGACGCCGGGACCGCCCUCCAACCCCCUCCCAGGUCUUCUCCUGCCACCUCCCUACCUUCGGCACCAAUGGACACCAGCUUAACCCCCUUGCUGGCAAUGAAGUCCAGGGCCUUGUUGACAUUGGCGAUCUUGUGGAAGCGCAUCUUGCCUUUGUCUGGCCUGGGUAGCCUCUCUCCUGGGUGUAAGAGGAGAGGUCAAGGGUCAAAGGUCACAAGAAAAAGCUGAAGACCCUGUCCUCAAACUUCCCCCUCCCCCACUUCAUCCCCUCCAGCACUCUGCUGCCGCGUUCCCCCAGCUCUCCGGAUUCUCCUAGGUCCCAGGGCCCCUGUGCAUUGAUUUGCGCCCCUCACCUGAAAUGACCUCCAAGAGCAACAUGAGUUUGAGGCCA
Panthera uncia (snow leopard) is the source of this 1532-nucleotide long non-coding RNA. RefSeq lists it as uncharacterized. NCBI's taxonomy places the organism in Eukaryota, Metazoa, Chordata, Mammalia, Carnivora, Felidae. The transcript is spliced from 2 exons. The record is from RefSeq and is a predicted model, not a curated record.